UGACGUAACCAAACCCGGGCCAGGAGCAUUGUGGGUAAAAAAAUGGUUGACUUGUGUAAGACAAUUAAGGUGGAUUGUAACUUCCCGCUCGCCGGUCAAACGCCGCCGUCAUGCUGCGGAUCAGCCGCCUCGCAGCCUGCCGGGAGUUGGCGACCAGCUCACCCGGCAUUCGCGGCUGGAGGAGCGGCCUUCAUCGACCCAUGGCCACGGGAGUGUGCCGGUGGACAUUCAGCCGGAACGAGGAGGUCGUCGACGCCCGGAGAAGAGUCAUGUUCUGGGGUCAGAAUGAGCGAAUGUUCUGCUCACAGCCCGGAGCUGAGGACCCGGGGAGGGAGCCCUCCGGCCGGCAUUCGGACAUCUCAGUGGUCGGCACCCCGGAUCCGAUCACUUGGAUCCGGUGUAAAGUCAUCUGCUUCCUGCUUAAACUCUACUUCGACCUGGAUGUCAGCUGUGAUGACUUUGGAAGAGGAGUCAAGCAGGCGGUGGCCCACGUCUCCGAUUUGAUGUCCAAAGGCAAAUACGUCCAAAUGAUUGGGCUCGUGUCUUUAGAGACAAUCCGAUACAUAGAGAAGAAGUGUCAGCCGCUGUCAGCGCGUCAGAGGCAGAAUCUCACCAUCUCCAUGGAAGACAUCCUAUUUGUAACUCCAGAAGACGUCUCUGUGGUCUUCGACGCACAUGGUAGAAAGUUCUGCAUCAUCGCCAUGAGAUGUUGGCACCUGUCCUCGCAUGAAGGCCCCGACGACCCUGAAGGCACCAGAAUAUUUAAAGUGUCCUCCGGUGAAGACGGCGUUCCACAGAAGAAAAUAGCGACGGUCGUCUAUGAGUUCCAUCGGGAGCUCACGGGUGGCGCGUCUUCGGACUGGACAGUAACCACAGUUUGGCACUGGAACUGGAACCAGAGCCAAGCUGACUGACUGAGAAAGCAGAGGAUUUUCAAACUAGGACCUAAAUCCUCUGUGUGGCCAUACUUUCCAACCAUCCCGGAUGUACCGGGAGACUCCCGGAAUUCAGCGCCUCUCCUGAAAACCUCCCGGAAGAAAUUUUCUCCCGAAAAUCUCCCGGAAGAAAUUUUCUCCCGAAAAUCUCCCGGAAUUCAGCCGGAGCUGGAGGCCACGCCCCCUCCAGCUCCAUGCGGACCUGAGUGGGGACAGCGGCAACAGUCUGUUUUCACGUCCGCUUUCCCACGAUAUAAACAGCGUACCUGCCCAAUCACGUUAUAACUGUAGAAUGAUCGAGUGCUAGUUCUUGGUUUCUUAUGUGGGUUUAUUGUUAGGCAGUUUCAUUAACGUCCUCCCAGCGCGGUAACAACACACAACAACAGCAGUCACGUUUUUGUCUACCGUAAAGCAGUUCGUCUGCCGUAAACCGCAAUGCUGUGACACUCUUAAACAGGACAAUACUGCCAUCUACUGGAUAGCCUCCGGAACACUGAAAUUCAAGUAUUUCUUUUAUUUAUAUGUAUAAUAAAAUAAAUAUAUAUAGAUAUAUACACUACCGUUCAAAAGUUUGGGGUCACCCAAACAAUUUUGUGGAAUAGCCUUCAUUUCUAAGAACAACAAUAGACUGUCGAGUUUCAGAUGAAAGUUCUCUUUUUCUGGCCAUUUUGAGCGUUUAAUUGACCCCACAAAUGUGAUGCUCCAGAAACUCAAUCUGCUCAAAGGAAGGUCAGUUUUGUAGCUUCUGUAACGAGCUAAACUGUUUUCAGAUGUGUGAACAUGAUUGCACAAGGGUUUUCUAAUCAUCAAUUAGCCUUCUGAGCCAAUGAGCAAACACAUUGUACCAUUAGAACACUGGAGUGAUAGUUGCUGGAAAUGGGCCUCUAUACACCCAUGUAGAUAUUGCACCAAAAACCAGACAUUUGCAGCUAGAAUACUCAUUUACCACAUUAGCAAUGUAUAGAGUGUAUUUCUUUAAAGUUAAGACUAGUUUGAAGUUAUCUUCAUUGAAAAGUACAGUGCUUUUCCUUCAAAAAUAAGGACAUGUCAAUGUGACCCCAAACUUUUGAACGGUAGUAUAUAUAUAUAUAUAUGUAUAUGCAGUGUUGGGACUAACGCGUUACUAAGUAACGCGUUACUGUAACGCCGUUAGUUUCGGCGGUAACUAGUAAUCUAACGCGUUAUUUUUUUAUAUACAGUAACUCUGUUACCGUUACUGCAUGAUGCGUUACUGCGUUAUUUUACGUUAUUUGUUAUGUAGUAUUGGCUAGAAACUGAAGAUCUGAGUGUGUUUUAUUGGAGCGCUCCGGUGGAAAAGAAGAGGCGUGCUUUCCCCCACCCACAGAAAGCACGCCUCCCCGCAGGGUGAAUGACGAGCCCGGCGGUUUGUUGCAACUUUGUGACUUUAUUGCACGCAGCCAUCGAGCAAGCUAGAGCACCUACACGCAGGGACGCCGAAAAGGGGGGGUAAAGGAGACGGAUUCUAGGGGCCCAUGAUGGAGGGGGGGGGCCCAGAGAGGCCCCUAAUGAUGAUGAAAUUAUAAUACAGAAAAAAUGAUGACACUAAGUUAUUAACUAACAUAUAUGUUAGUUAAUAACUUAGUGUAAUAAUAAUAAUCACAGAUGUUUUAUUUUCCAUGUCCUGGUAACAAUACCUUUAUUUGUUUUGGAAGCAUCAACACCUGCAGGGCCCUCCCUUCCCCCCUCUAUUUACGUAAAAUGGUUCAGUCCGACUGGAUCAGCUGCAGGUAGAGCACCGGCGAUUUGUUACAGACAGCGCCAGAGCGGGCUAAGCGGAGGAGACAACAGCAUGCCUCAAAAAUCAGGCAGCCAAAAAAGAAAGGAAAAGAAAAUAAGAGAGGAGAAGGAGUUGAAGGGUCGACAAUAUGUCACCCAAUAUUUCCAAAAAAAGGUGGGUUUGUUAGUUGUGGUGGAAAGUUAUGCAUAUUAACUUUGUCCCUGUCUGUGGUAAUAAGCUAGCUCACUUUUCUCACCAUGUUAGCUCAAGAAAACUCUGGAUUUUUACAUUUUACUGCUAUAUUAGUUAAAUAAUCAAUCCAGUCAAACAUUUAUCAAGCUGUUCUUAUUCAAUAAUGUCAUGGAAGAGUUUAUUUCCAAUUUAAGAAUCAGUGGUGCAGCAAAUAAAUGACUCAAAAUGAAUUCCAUUGUAUUCAGAGUGCUCAGUUCUUCCCCUACUGUACAUGUCAACUGUGAUGCUGUUCUUCUUUCAAAAAUAUGGUAAUGAUAGUCAAAAAUACCAUUAAAAUGCAUAAUUGUAUGUAAAAUAGCAUCAAAAAAUGUUGCCGCUGUGUUGGGGGUCCUGUAAAGAUUAUUUUCAUGGGGCCCAAAAUCCCUAGCGGCGCCCCUGCCUACACGCACUCACUGUCGCCGCUCCCUCACCUCUCUCGCCCACUCACUCACUGACGUCACUCACCUCUCAUGCUGUCAUAUCUUAAAGGGCCACACACACACACAUACGCUACUCUCAUAACAACUAACAAGACAUCAUGGCGAAGCCAGAAGUCGAGUUUUUUAACAUGGAGACAUUCUCAAUACUUUUCUUUUGUCGAGCACAAAGAAAAUAACAUUUUAGUUAAAUGUAAGUUGUGUCUUGGAUCAAAGAUCCUAUCUACUUAGAGUUAAAGUUAAAGUGCCAUUAUGUUGCAGCUAUUUAAAAUAGUUUUGUCAAUUUUUUCUGGCCUGAAAUAAAUUGGCCCUUUGAAACAUAUCUUUGUCUUUGUGUGUUGUAUGUAGACCACAUUGCUUUCUGAGUUCAGUGAUGCAAAUGCAUGUCAAGUUGAUCAACAGAUUGUAUUAUUCUCCAGUGCAAUAACAGUACUGAAAUGAAGGCUAAAAGGGCAUUAAUGGGAGCCUUAAAAAAAAGGGGGGAAA
Molecule: RNA transcript, 3827 nt
Organism: Entelurus aequoreus (snake pipefish)
Lineage: Eukaryota; Metazoa; Chordata; Actinopteri; Syngnathiformes; Syngnathidae
Exons: 7
Source: RefSeq, a predicted model, not a curated record